Long non-coding RNA from Gallus gallus (chicken), 3001 nucleotides. The record is from Ensembl. Lineage: Eukaryota; Metazoa; Chordata; Aves; Galliformes; Phasianidae.
UUUUUUUUUUUUUUUUUUUUUUUUUUUGGCAGGAAAGAAAAAAGACAGAAGGAUGAAGUUGUAUGGGGUACAGUUGUAAAUGAAAAGCACUAGCUGUGCCAUCAGAGUCUUUGUUAUGCUGCUGUUUCACAUAAGAGUUGCAGGCUAUGAAGCCAGAGUGAAAACUGAAGAUCAUUAAGUGGGAAAAAGCAUUCAUGUUGCCUGGGGCCGUCUCCUGGUAUACAGCAAACCUAGCCUUCACUUGGCUUAUACUUGCUGACACUAGUGUUUAGAGAAAGCAACAGGCUCCCUGCAAAGAGUCUCCAGGUGAACAUCUUUCACCAAAAGAGUUACUGAUUUUGGAACAUGAGUCCAACAAUAUUUUGAUUAAAACUUGAUUUGUUGGGCUCAAAAUAGCACCCAGUUGGAAAAGAACUUGUUUUAAGAUUCCAUCAUAAGACCUGGCUCACAGUGUCAUUUCCAGCAUAGAGGUCUGCUAAAAGUUUAACUCAGUGAGUUGAUUAGUGCUCCAACAAAUUAAGAUCAUCUCGGGUAUAUCAUCAUCGUGGAGCAUUUCCCUUUAUUACAGACCAAAACAUUUCAACAGAAGGAAAAUAUUCUUGUGUCUAUUUAAAAACUUCUGAAUAUUUCAGGCAUGUCUAUAAUACAGUCCUAAGGACACAGUGAAGACACAGUAAGUACUGUUGAUUUCAACUUUUAAAACAAUGGAAUAGAAAAUGUGGUAGAUUUCCAGGUUCACUGAAGUUAAUGGGAACAUUUCCUUAAGUUUUAAGGUAUGCAUGUUCUCACAGUCUUUAAAAAAAAAGAAAAGAUCUCUCCUUCAGCUGCCCAGAGUUUGAAACCCAUAUGCUUCUGGGAAUGCACCUUAUUGCAAGGUGCAGUCUACCUCAUGCUUCUAUAUUGUGCCCAUAGGACAAAGAACUGAAAACAUUAUCUGUUGGCAGAGACAAAUUACUCAACAUCUCGGCUGCUUCCAACCCAUGACAUCUGAAAUACACUUGUAAACAUUUGAGAACAAAUGGCAAUUUUCUAAGCAUCUUCAUUCUAUCCUUAAACUUCCACUCAAUUUCUCAAAAAAUAAGCUUUGUCAGAAGCAGGCUGCAUAUGGAUAUAUCCAGCUUCUGCUCUCAUUCCAGCUUCACAUGAAGAACACUUCCUUGAAUCAUCACUGGUAUGAUCUACUUGGGAGCUUUUCUAAAUCACCAACAAGAGCAAACAUCUUUCCCCCAGAAGUGCCUACUUCCCUUGUAUUAUAGAGAAGCCAUUCUCACAAAUUCAAAUUUCUUUUUUUUUUUUAUUCUUAUGGAAAGAAGCACUUCCAUUGUUAAAAUAUGCUUAACCUAGCCCAUCUCUCCACCUUCUUCUCACUGCAUCUAGUUUAAGCUUUCCAAAGUGGAUCUUGUGAUGUUUAGCAUAGGAUCCAUUUUGUUUGCUUGUUUCAACAGGUAGAAGUUAGAGUGCUGAUUCUUGCUGGACAUUACUCUAAAACUGAAAACAACAUCUUAGAAACACGAACUCAUUGUACCAGCUACAGCAAGAACUGUUUAACACUACUGUGGAUAAUUGCUUCUCACUAUCACAUGUGCAAACAGUACAAAUUCAUUGUAAGAAGCUAAGCAUUUCAGGAAACAGUGUUUUAUCUGUAAAUAAUGAUGAAAAAAUAUAAUAAAAUCAGUCAUGCUCAAUCUAAUACAUUUUAUAUUAUGGCUGUUCUGCUACUUUGCUCAUGACUUGUUCCUCCCUUGAUCUUUGACUUGCUAUGGUGGUAUCACAUACAUGACAGAGUUUAUGUGGACCUUGGUACUACCAUGCUUUAUUUUCCAGAUGUGGUGCUACCACAACAUAACGCAGAUCAGAUUUUUGGCCUGUUACACAGCUGUGAGCAGUCUAGAAAUGAUGCUGUGUUGAAUGAUCUAUAUGAAGCAUCACAACUUUGCAUCUCGUGUAUUCAAAGGCUUUCAUUAAGGAAAAAUAAUAGCAGACAGUAGCCAAUUCUAAACUGGAUCGACAGUCACCUUCAAAGACAAUAUUUUGUAAAGGUGCUGUACUUGUCUCAAGAGGGGAGAAAACAAAUCUGUUCCUAGCACUCAAGAGCUUUCUUUAGUACCUGAUCUAUUUAAAUAAACAGAUAGAAACUUUAUCAUAUGACUUUCAUUUCUUAUAUAUUUAUUUCAUGUUUUGUUAGUGAAUCAAAAUUCAGAUUGGUUAAUUCAGAGGACACAAUCAAUUUAAAUUCCAUUUUCCAGAACCUCUUUCUCAUAAAUAAGGAUCAAGAAAAAAUGAGCAAUGUAUUUCCUUCAAUUCCUUGUUGUUAUGCUACAUUUGCUACAUAUGCUACAGUUAACUUCACAUCAACUCUUCUCCUGUAUAUUCCCUUAUCCAGGGAACAGUCAUACUGUUUACUGCAAGCAAUUUACUAUCUGAGUUCCUAAAAGAAAUUAAGGAACUGGUGUGUUGCUAUUGACAUAUUGAGAAAAGUCCCCAGGAGGAUUUCUUCUCAUUGUAAAUGGCAGGAUUUCAGCUCCUUCAUCUUUCACCCAGUAGAGUGAUGAAAGCUCAUUUCAUUGGACAAGUGAUAAAAAUUCUACAAAGAUAUUUUUUCUACCCCGUUCUUUCUUAAAUAUAAAAAUUAACACUGUCCCUUUGCAGAUUUGUCGGCAGGUAUCCUAUUAUUGUCCCAUUAUAUGCUUGUUCUGUUUCACUAAAAAUUUGAUUUCUUAGUUUCUUUAAGUAAGGUCACUAUCAGAAAGAUCAAAAAAUAACAUCUGGUGCUCUUGCAUAAGAUAUCUGGGUGUAAAUGUCUGAUGGUUUCAUCUUCGCUCACUGAAAAUUCCACUUGAGUGAAAAACAAUCAAUAGUGGGAAGUAUUAAGAGUUUCCUUAAGGAAAUAAUUCUAACAGAAUUAAUUUGUAUUUAUAAGACAUUAUGUUUCUCAGAAUUCCUUCAGUUUUGGCCUGUUCUGGUGGGGGGGGAAAAAAAAAAAAAAAAAAAAAAAGAUAAA